RNAcentral lists this ribosomal RNA (441 nucleotides) under uncultured bacterium. RNAcentral describes it as "partial 16S ribosomal RNA". It matches the Rfam family "Bacterial small subunit ribosomal RNA", at positions 338 to 795 of the family's 1533-position model. The record is from RNAcentral.
CCUACGGGUGGCAGCAGUGGGGGAUAUUGCACAAUGGGGGGAACCCUGAUGCAGCGACGCCGCGUGGGUGAAGGAGUGCUUCGGCAUGUAAAGCCCUAUCGGCAGGGAAGAAGCAAGACGGUACCUGACUAAGAAGCCCCGGCUAACUACGUGCCAGCAGCCGCGGUAAUACGUAGGGGGCGAGCGUUAUCCGGAUUCACUGGGUGUAAAGGGAGCGUAGACGGCCAUGCAAGCCAGGGGUGAUAGCCCGGGGCCCAACCCCGGGACUGCCCUUGGAACUGCAUGGCUGGAGUGCGGGAGGGGCAGGCGGAAUUCCUGGUGUAGCGGUGAAAUGCGUAGAUAUCAGGAGGAACACCGAUUGCGAAGGCAGCUUACCAAGCUACUUCUGACGUUGAGGCACGAAAGCGUGGGGAGCAAACAGGAUUAGAUACCCCGGUAGUC